RNAcentral lists this long non-coding RNA (173 nucleotides) under Capra hircus (goat). Its description in RNAcentral is "lncRNA (ENSCHIG00010003997.1)". Lineage: Eukaryota; Metazoa; Chordata; Mammalia; Artiodactyla; Bovidae. The record is from RNAcentral.
AGGGAGCAGGCUCAAGGGAAAUCAUUCUGCUGGGUCCCAAGUUGCACGGGAAAGAGCAGGGCUUUGUGAGGCUAUCUUUGGUUGCCUGGAUACAUCAUUUGGAUACUUCCACCCAUUCUGCUCCUUCUGGAUAGAACUCUUCUUAAAAGCAAGCAAACAACAACAAAAGAAAC